GGCUGGUGCGAGUGCAGUGGUGUUUAUAACUAAUAGAUCACAACCAGUGGCAGAUUUCUUUGUUCCUUCUCUACUCCCGUUGCUUCACUUGACUAGCCGCUC
Unclassified non-coding RNA from Colobus angolensis palliatus, 102 nucleotides. It matches the Rfam family "Y RNA". Rfam says of the family: Y RNAs are components of the Ro ribonucleoprotein particle (Ro RNP), in association with Ro60 and La proteins. The Y RNAs and Ro60 and La proteins are well conserved, but the function of the Ro RNP is not known. In humans the RNA component can be one of four small RNAs -- hY1, hY3, hY4 and hY5. NCBI's taxonomy places the organism in Eukaryota, Metazoa, Chordata, Mammalia, Primates, Cercopithecidae. The record is from Ensembl.